RNAcentral lists this ribosomal RNA (216 nucleotides) under Glomeromycotina sp. Its description in RNAcentral is "partial small subunit ribosomal RNA". The stretch from base 40 to 216 matches the Rfam family "Eukaryotic small subunit ribosomal RNA", at positions 686 to 864 of the family's 1831-position model. Lineage: Eukaryota; Fungi; Glomeromycota. The record is from RNAcentral.
GGGUCAUUAGGUUGGUCGUGCCACCGGUACGUACUGGUCUCACUGAUUCCUCCUUCCUGAAGAACCGUGAUGCCAUUAAUUUGGUGUUGCGGGGAAACAGGACUGUUACUUUGAAAAAAUUAGAGUGUUUAAAGCAAGCUAACGCUUGAAUACAUUAGCAUGGAAUAAUGAAAUAGGACGAUCGAUCCUAUUUUGUUGGUUUCUAGGAUUGACGUA